This 327-nucleotide ribosomal RNA is filed under the name uncultured bacterium. RNAcentral's name for it is "bacterial SSU rRNA". It matches the Rfam family "Bacterial small subunit ribosomal RNA", at positions 8 to 334 of the family's 1533-position model. The record is from RNAcentral.
AGGGUUCGAUUAUGGCUCAGGAUGAACGCUGGCGGCGUGCUUAACACAUGCAAGUCGAACGGGAUCCCAGGAGCUUGCUCCUGGGUGAGAGUGGCGAACGGGUGAGUAAUGCGUGACCGACCUGCCCCAUACACCGGAAUAGCUCCUGGAAACGGGUGGUAAUGCCGGAUGCUCCAGUUGGAUGCAUGUCCUUCUGGGAAAGAUUCAUCGGUAUGGGAUGGGGUCGCGUCCUAUCAGCUUGAUGGCGGGGUAACGGCCCACCAUGGCUUCGACGGGUAGCCGGCCUGAGAGGGCGACCGGCCACAUUGGGACUGAGAUACGGCCCAG